This 700-nucleotide ribosomal RNA is filed under the name Streptomyces sp. KP7. RNAcentral describes it as "bacterial SSU rRNA". It matches the Rfam family "Bacterial small subunit ribosomal RNA", at positions 82 to 796 of the family's 1533-position model. The record is from RNAcentral. Lineage: Bacteria; Bacillati; Actinomycetota; Actinomycetes; Kitasatosporales; Streptomycetaceae.
UCGGGGUGGAUUAGUGGCGAACGGGUGAGUAACACGUGGGCAAUCUGCCCUGCACUCUGGGACAAGCCCUGGAAACGGGGUCUAAUACCGGAUAACACUCUCGCAGGCAUCUGUGAGGGUUAAAAGCUCCGGCGGUGCAGGAUGAGCCCGCGGCCUAUCAGCUUGUUGGUGGGGUGAUGGCCUACCAAGGCGACGACGGGUAGCCGGCCUGAGAGGGCGACCGGCCACACUGGGACUGAGACACGGCCCAGACUCCUACGGGAGGCAGCAGUGGGGAAUAUUGCACAAUGGGCGAAAGCCUGAUGCAGCGACGCCGCGUGAGGGAUGACGGCCUUCGGGUUGUAAACCUCUUUCAGCAGGGAAGAAGCGAAAGUGACGGUACCUGCAGAAGAAGCGCCGGCUAACUACGUGCCAGCAGCCGCGGUAAUACGUAGGGCGCAAGCGUUGUCCGGAAUUAUUGGGCGUAAAGAGCUCGUAGGCGGCUUGUCACGUCGGUUGUGAAAGCCCGGGGCUUAACCCCGGGUCUGCAGUCGAUACGGGCAGGCUAGAGUUCGGUAGGGGAGAUCGGAAUUCCUGGUGUAGCGGUGAAAUGCGCAGAUAUCAGGAGGAACACCGGUGGCGAAGGCGGAUCUCUGGGCCGAUACUGACGCUGAGGAGCGAAAGCGUGGGGAGCGAACAGGAUUAGAUACCCUGGUAGUCC